RNAcentral lists this ribosomal RNA (337 nucleotides) under Clostridioides difficile. RNAcentral's name for it is "partial 23S ribosomal RNA". It matches the Rfam family "Bacterial large subunit ribosomal RNA", at positions 1110 to 1455 of the family's 2925-position model. The record is from RNAcentral. Lineage: Bacteria; Bacillati; Bacillota; Clostridia; Peptostreptococcales; Peptostreptococcaceae.
AAGCAGCCACUCCUUCAAAGAGUGCGUAAUAGCUCACUGGACGAGUGAUCCUGCGCCGAAGAUUUCCGGGGCUAAAACUUACUACCGAAGCUACGGCAUCAUUAUGAUGGGUAGGGGAGCUUCCCAUACGGGUUGAAGCAUGACCGUAAGGACAUGUGGAAAGUAUGGGAGUGAGAAUGUUGGCAUGAGUAGCGAGAUGUGGGUGAGAAUCCCACAGGCCGUAAACCCAAGGUUUCCAGGGGAAGGUUCGUCCGCCCUGGGUUAGUCGGGACCUAAGCUGAGGCCGAAAGGCGUAGGUGAUGGACAACAGGUUGAUAUUCCUGUACUACCGAUAACC